GGUUAAUAUGAGAAAUGAGUCAAACUUAAAAGAUCAAAAUAGGUUUCAUUUUCCUCGGUUAGAAGAAUUCUAAAUAUUUUUUUCAAAAUUUUAAUUUUAUAAAAAUUAAUUAAAAAUAUAUUUUAUUUUAUUUUAGCUACAUCAACACUAUUAUUUACACGUCAGCAUCGUAACAGAUGUGGUAUUUUUUUAACCAAAUUAACAAAAAAAUGAAACCAAAUCAAAAAAAUAAAACAUAAAAGGACUUAAACAAGGUUUGUUAAAGUUUAAAAACUGUACUUACCUCAAUAACCCCUCAAUGGCUCGAUAGGUGUUGAUGAUUCAAUUAAUAUUAUGGAAAGUCAAUUAAUUAAUAUAUUAUUUAAUAAAUCUCCUUUUGUAUUUCAUACCUAUUUAUCUUGUUGAAUGUAUUUAUAUGUUCCACAACAAUUAAAAACUCUUAGAAAUUGUAACAAUGAUGAAAACCAAGGUUUUUAUUUUAUGUUUUCUUUGUGUAUUGUUUCUUUUCUCUACUGUGGCAAUUGAGACAUCAAAACAUGGUAAACAAUAUAUAAAUAGGUACCAUGUAUGUACACACAAUUGCUUUCUUCUUACAUAUCUAAUUUAGUAAAAAUUGUUAGUUAAUUUAUUUGCAAGUGGUGCAAAAGAAUCAAAUAAAAAAGUUUGGGUAGAUGACUUUAAGCAUUGGCCAUAUGGCGAUGUAAAUUGAAAAGGCAAACAAAGGUGGAACUUAUUCGAAAAGGAUGUGAGGGAAAGGCAAAAAUUACGCCAAUUAAGUCAAAGGAUUCAUAGAUUGACUCGAUUCAAAACUAGAUGCAUAACAUUAAUAUAUAUCUCAUACAUAUGGAUUAAUGUGGUAAGAAAUAUAAAUGAAAGCAUAUAUUAUAAUUAUUGCGUGAAUGAAAAAUAAAUAAGAUUGAAGUUGUAUCCCC
Molecule: long non-coding RNA, 932 nt
Filed under: Cicer arietinum (chickpea)
Lineage: Eukaryota; Viridiplantae; Streptophyta; Magnoliopsida; Fabales; Fabaceae
Description: long non-coding RNA (CARI_LNC000574)
Source: RNAcentral